AAUUAUGCCUUGGAUCCAGACUUUGAUUAUGGCUCAGGAUGAACGCUGGCGGCAUGCCUAAUACAUGCAAGUCGAACGGAGAAGCCUAACAGAAGAUGCUUGCAUCGGAAGAUAGAUACUUCUCAGUGGCGAACGGGUGAGUAACACGUAGGUAACCUGCCCAUGUGCCCGGGAUAAUUUCUGGAAACGGAAACUAAAACCGGAUAGGUAAUAGAGAAGCAUUUCUGUAUUAUUAAAGAAGCCUCAAAGCUUUGAACAUGGAUGGACCUGCGGUGCAUUAGCUAGUUGGUAAGGUAACGGCCUACCAAGGCGACGAUGCAUAGCCGACCUGAGAGGGCGAACGGCCACAUUGGGACUGAGACACGGCCCAAACUCCUACGGGAGGCAGCAGUAGGGAAUUUUCGUCAAUGGGGGGAACCCUGAACGAGCAAUGCCGCGUGAGUGAAGACGGUCUUCGGAUUGUAAAGCUCUGUUGUGAGAGAAAAAGGAUAUAUAUAGGAAAUGAUAUGUAUUUGAUGGUAUCUCACCAGAAAGUCACGGCUAACUACGUGCCAGCAGCCGCGGUAAUACGUAGGUGGCGAGCGUUAUCCGGAAUGAUUGGGCGUAAAGGGUACGUAGGCGGCAUGAUAAGUCUGGAGUGAAAGGCUACAGCUCAACUGUAGUAUGCUCUGGAAACUGUCAAGCUAGAGUGCAGAAGAGGGCAAUGGAACUCCAUGUGUAGCGGUAAAAUGCGUAGAUAUAUGGAAGAACACCGGUGGCGAAGGCGGUUGCCUGGUCUGAAACUGACGCUGAAGUACGAAAGCGUGGGGAGCAAAUAGGAUUAGAUACCCUAGUAGUCCACGCCGUAAACGAUGAGAACUAGGUGUUGGGGGAAUAACUCAGUGCCGCAGUUAACGCAAUAAGUUCUCCGCUUGGGGAGUAUGCACG
This 927-nucleotide ribosomal RNA is filed under the name uncultured Bacillota bacterium. RNAcentral describes it as "bacterial SSU rRNA". It matches the Rfam family "Bacterial small subunit ribosomal RNA", at positions 1 to 888 of the family's 1533-position model. The record is from RNAcentral. Lineage: Bacteria; Bacillati; Bacillota.